CCUGCUUCUCCAUCUCGCACGAUCUCCUCCGUCACUGUCCGUCCCCCUCAAAGGAAGCAGUCAGGACGAAUCACAGCCUUCUUUUAGAUGCCUGUUGAUCCAGAAGAGGGGAGGAAAUGUGGCCCUGUUCAGGAAAUGUCUGCAGGCUUUGCUGCUGUGAUGGACAGAUGCUUAUUUCUGCAUAAAUUAAAGCUUGGGAAGACAUCAGGAGGCUCUCUGGCUGGCCUGCGGUGAAGCAGAGGGUUAUGGCUCUGGAACGUAUGCAGACAGACACACAGGUGGUGUUUCACUCUCACUCUGGGGAGAAAAUGACCGACUGGGCUGCCUCUGUCCUCGCACAUCUGGAG
Long non-coding RNA from Eleginops maclovinus (Patagonian blennie), 347 nucleotides. RefSeq lists it as uncharacterized. The record is from RefSeq and is a predicted model, not a curated record. NCBI's taxonomy places the organism in Eukaryota, Metazoa, Chordata, Actinopteri, Perciformes, Eleginopidae. The transcript is spliced from 3 exons.